CCGGUCCCGCGGCUGCAGGGGGUGCGGGGGAUGCGGGGCUCGGUCGCCUCCCGGCGGGGGAGGAGGGGAGUGACGGCCCUUCUGGGAAGCACCGCCGGGAGCCGGGAGUACGUGGACGCGGAGGAGCCCUGCCCCAGGCACACAGGGCGGGUGACUUGGUGAUGGGUCGGCGCCCCCAGCCUUUGGCCUGGCCGUUCCCACCUGCGAGGAAUGCCUUGCCUUCUCCAUGCAAAUGCGACGUGGGAUCCCGGUUUGGAUCCUGGGACACAAAAAAGGAAGGCAACGGAAGAAGCAGUGAAAUCUGAGUAAAGUCUGGAGUUUAAUGCCAAGUGCCGAAGUUCCUCACGGUGACAGCUGACCCACGCCUGUGUCAGGUGUUACCUUGAGAGAAACUGAGUGGGGAGGCUACAGCAAAGCUCACGCAGUCUUUGCUACUUUCCUGUAAAUCUAAGACGACAAUAAAAACUUCAUUUUAGAACA
Long non-coding RNA from Neofelis nebulosa (Clouded leopard), 480 nucleotides. RefSeq lists it as uncharacterized. The transcript has 2 exons. Lineage: Eukaryota; Metazoa; Chordata; Mammalia; Carnivora; Felidae. The record is from RefSeq and is a predicted model, not a curated record.